Molecule: ribosomal RNA, 777 nt
Filed under: uncultured bacterium
Lineage: Bacteria
Description: bacterial SSU rRNA
Rfam family: Bacterial small subunit ribosomal RNA
Source: RNAcentral
GUGAAGAAGGUCUUCGGAUCGUAAAACCCUGUUGUUAGAGAAGAAAGUGCGUGAGAGUAACUGUUCACGUUUCGACGGUAUCUAANCAGAAAGGCACGGCUAANUNCGUGCCAGCAGCCGCGGUAAUACGUAGGUGGCAAGCGUUAUCCGGAUUUAUUGGGCGUAAAGGGAACGCAGGCGGUCUUUUAAGUCUGAUGUGAAAGCCUUCGGCUUAACCGGAGUAGUGCAUUGGAAACUGGGAGACUUGAGUGCAGAAGAGGAGAGUGGAACUCCAUGUGUAGCGGUGAAAUGCGUAGAUAUAUGGAAGAACACCAGUGGCGAAAGCGGCUCUCUGGUCUGUAACUGACGCUGAGGUUCGAAAGCGUGGGUAGCAAACAGGAUUAGAUACCCUGGUAGUCCACCCCGUAAACGAUGAAUGCUAAGUGUUGGAGGGUUUCCGCCCUUCAGUGCUGCAGCUAACGCAAUAAGCAUUCCGCCUGGGGAGUACGACCGCAAGGUUGAAACUCAAAGGAAUUGACGGGGGCCCACACAAGCGGUGGAGCAUGUGGUUUAAUUCGAAGCAACGCGAAGAACCUUACCAGGUCUUGACAUCUUCUGACAAUCCUAGAGAUAGGACUUUCCCUUCGGGGACAGAAUGACAGGUGGUGCAUGGUUGUCGUCAGCUCGUGUCGUGAGAUGUUGGGUUAAGUCCCGCAACGAGCGCAACCCUUAUUGUUAGUUGCCAACAUUAAGUUGGGCACUCUAGCAAGACUGCCGGUGACAAACCGGAGGAAGGCG